This 714-nucleotide ribosomal RNA is filed under the name Microbacterium paraoxydans. RNAcentral's name for it is "bacterial SSU rRNA". It matches the Rfam family "Bacterial small subunit ribosomal RNA", at positions 336 to 1061 of the family's 1533-position model. The record is from RNAcentral. Lineage: Bacteria; Bacillati; Actinomycetota; Actinomycetes; Micrococcales; Microbacteriaceae.
UUCCUACGGGAGGCAGCAGUGGGGAAUAUUGCACAAUGGGCGAAAGCCUGAUGCAGCAACGCCGCGUGAGGGAUGACGGCCUUCGGGUUGUAAACCUCUUUUAGCAGGGAAGAAGCGAAAGUGACGGUACCUGCAGAAAAAGCGCCGGCUAACUACGUGCCAGCAGCCGCGGUAAUACGUAGGGCGCAAGCGUUAUCCGGAAUUAUUGGGCGUAAAGAGCUCGUAGGCGGUUUGUCGCGUCUGCUGUGAAAACCCGAGGCUCAACCUCGGGCCUGCAGUGGGUACGGGCAGACUAGAGUGCGGUAGGGGAGAUUGGAAUUCCUGGUGUAGCGGUGGAAUGCGCAGAUAUCAGGAGGAACACCGAUGGCGAAGGCAGAUCUCUGGGCCGUAACUGACGCUGAGGAGCGAAAGGGUGGGGAGCAAACAGGCUUAGACACCCUGGUAGUCCACCCCGUAAACGUUGGGAACUAGUUGUGGGGUCCAUUCCACGGAUUCCGUGACGCAGCUAACGCAUUAAGUUCCCCGCCUGGGGAGUACGGCCGCAAGGCUAAAACUCAAAGGAAUUGACGGGGACCCGCACAAGCGGCGGAGCAUGCGGAUUAAUUCGAUGCAACGCGAAGAACCUUACCAAGGCUUGACAUAUACGAGAACGGGCCAGAAAUGGUCAACUCUUUGGACACUCGUAAACAGGUGGUGCAUGGUUGUCGUCAGCUC